AAAGGAAGAAGUCCGGGCUGCUUUGGUCCCCAAGUUAUGGCUGCUCACCUCCACCUGCCGGACAAGUAGGCUGGGCUUAAGCAGCCCGCCUGGUGUCCCCCCGCAGUCUGCGCUAACUGCCACCGACCGUCCCGGGCGGCGCCCCUGCUGCUUCCAUCAGGUAGCUCCAGUAUCGAAACCCAGCAGAGCCCUGACACGUCUCGGGGACCGUGCGUACCCCUUCUUUCCUGCGCCUGCGUCCCACCUGUUGGCUGUAUUGCGUCCUUAAUUUCCCGGUACGCCUGCAGCUCAGCAGCCCCGGUAGGCUGUCAAUCAUCCUAGUAGUCCCGUCCCCCCCCCCGCACCCCUCCCCCGCCCGCUGCUGUUUCCCAGGGGUUCGGCUGUGAGCAUGAACCUGCGCGUGGAGCUUCCAGCGCGCUCAUUUUUCAGCACGCGCCGUUCAGUCCAGAGCCGCACAGCAACCUCUGGGGGAGAUGUUGAGAUCACACAGGUUUUACGAGGAAAUGACAUUGGGGAGACCUCAGCGAUGGAAACGCGGUAGAACUGGGAGGGAGAGUUUAAGAGAGGAUGGAGCUGCCAUAUUGUAUUAUGGGAGAUGCCCAAAGACCAACUGGGUCGGUGCGAGAUUUUUUUUUUUUUUCUUGAGGCGUGGGUGGCAGGAGAUGUGAUCUGAGGAACAAGCGGGAGACAGUUUCUAACAGGGGACUAUCCCAUAAUUUUAAAGAAGACGCUGGUGGGUUUAAGCCGGGCUGUGGCUAGGCACUGUGGCUGCGGUGAAACGGGUAAGGGGCUCUUGGAAUACUGCACGGUUGCCCUUGGGGAAUUAUGUCAUCGACCUUUCUGCUCUCACACUCAGGGUGUGGAUGGAUGGGUAGGAACACUUGGGUUUAUUCCUUCGAUGAGUCACAAAAACAACAAACCAAACAAACCCAACAACCAAACAAAACCGAAACAAUCAAACAAACAAACAAACAAGAAAAGGGAACUGAACCCCAGAAACAAAAACCCUAAUAGUUAGUUCCCUGCCUAACAGGUUCUCCUUAGCAUUGUCAAUCCGAACCCCAAAAUUCUGGUAGCUUUUUUUGUUGGUUUUUGAAACGUCUCCAACGAUUGGUCAACAGCUUUUCACAUUAAAGACACAGAGGACACCCCUGGCUAGUUAGCCAGUUGCCUGCCGCCGGACUCUGGAAUGUUAGGCCAGUGGUUGCCAUAGCGACCGGGCGGGAGGGAUAGAUUGACUAGUUAGGAACCAGUUCCUGUUAAGGGACCGGUCCUUGAGGUCUUGAGGAGGAUUCCGCGCACUCCAUGGGACACCCACGGAGACCUCCAUACUCCGGGUGCGUGCGGAAUCUCUGUGGCCAGUUGGGUGGUGCCUCGGAUGCCAGAAGGUGCCACUUGGGGUACGAGUGGGUCAGCUUAAGCCCUCAGUGUACCAACGUGAAAAGAGCUCCCCCUUGGGCCCGGUGAAUGGUUGGACAUCUGAUGCCCCUACUUCAGUCUUUGAGGGGGUCUCAGAACUGGGCGGUGGGUGAACCUCCAAGAGCCAGCUCUAACAGAACCCUUUUGGUACUCCCGCGUCUUCCUCAGCAAGUCUUUAUUCUGGACUCCAUUUUGGCCAAAUGAAAGGGUGAGACUGGCUUCUCGAAGCCACUAACCAGUUGGUACAGUUCCAUGUAGGCCUUGAACACACUCUCUCACCAAGCAAAAUAGCUAAUGGGUCAAUCUCCUGGGGCUUUGAAAGGUCUUUUGAAUCUCCUGUGCCUUCCACUAUCCUUUAGUAGGGAUGUUUCAAGUUGGAGGAAAUCAGGCUAGACCGUGACCAUCCGUCAUGACCCAUCAAGUGCAGGAGGCUCACCUGGCAAGCAGCAUCCUGGGCAGAGCUAGGUUAUAUCUGUUCUCUACCAACUGUACCAGCAUUCCAUGGAAGACUGGAAAGCAAGAUAGAUACUUGUUUCCUUCUGGUGGUAGAAUAAUGUACUCUUUGACAGUUUUAUACUUUCUUAAAAUUUUCCAAAAAUUUGAUAAUUUGCGUGAGAAGCAUAAUUUUAAAAAUCUCUUGCAACUUUUAAAAAAUAGAUUAUUUUAAUUUUAUGUACAUUGGUGUUUUGACUGCAUGUGUGUCUGUGUGAAGGUUGUCAGAUUGCCCCUGGAACAGGAGUUAUAGUUGUGAGCUGCCAUGUUCAUGAGAAUUGAACUCUUAACCUCUCUCUGAGUCAUCUCUCCAGCCCCGAAUUUUUUUUCUUUAAAGACAAAGUCUCACUAUGUAGUCCUGGCUAGCUUGGAAAGCUCUAUUUAAACCAGGCUGGCCUUAGGCUCACAGAGAUCCAUCCACCUUUUCAUGUUGGCAUUAAAGGAGAAAACAUCACUCCAAAAUUUUUUGUUGUCAUUUAAAAAAAUUAAUUUUCACUUUAUGAAUAUGGAUAUUUUUCUCUGUCUGUCUGUUUCUGUAGCACACACAGGCCUGGUGCCUGUGGUGGCCAGGAAAGGGAGAUUAUCAGGUCUGUUUACACUGGAGCUAUAUAAUGGCUUGGGGCCUCCAUAUGAAUGCUUAGAAUGGAACUCAGGCCCUCUGGAAAACCAGUCAGUGCCCUUCACCACUAGGCCAUCUCUCCAGCCCUGUUGCUUUGUUUUGUGAGAUAGGGGUCUGGACAUAUGAUCCAAGCUGGCCUAGAACUCAGCGUGUAGAUCGGGCUAUCCUUGAACUUCUGAUCCUCUCGCCUCUAUUUCAAAGUGCUUGGAUUACACGUCCCACUGCUGUUGCUGCCGAACAAACCAGGGCUUUGUCUUCAUGAGACACCAUUCCCAGCGUUCUCCAACAGCAGCGUCCUUAACGGGAGGGCUAAAAAAUGGUCCUUACUAAAACAGCAAGGUCACACGGCAAUGCGGUUAGUGAAUACUGGCUGCUUUCAGAGACAGUAAAAGGCACUGUUCUCUGGUCAGUAUUGAUCGCUGUUUGGAAAUAUCUUAAUGUUUUAAAGCCAUAGUUUCCCGUGAUCUUAUUAAAUGUUAAAAUCUUAGAUUAUACAAAUUGCCCUCGCGAAGAAGAAUCCAUCAAGGAACACACAGUGAAGAAGAAAGUUCUAGACGGACUUAAAAUUGCUUACUCAAUUCCCCCAUUCACUAAGAUUUAGAGACAGGGAGAGUUCCUUAGGGCGUAUGGGUAAAAUGAAUCCAGAGUCAGCUCAUGAAAAAUUAACUGCUUUGGAGAUGAAACUGUGUACAUGCUAUUGACAACUAAAUG
This 3241-nucleotide long non-coding RNA is filed under the name Mus musculus (house mouse). RNAcentral's name for it is "long non-coding RNA chr4:135494746-135497987". Lineage: Eukaryota; Metazoa; Chordata; Mammalia; Rodentia; Muridae. The record is from RNAcentral.